GAUCAAGUGUCUUAAGGGCAAUUGGUGGAUGCCU
Molecule: ribosomal RNA, 34 nt
Filed under: Mesorhizobium sp. Leb-3
Lineage: Bacteria; Pseudomonadati; Pseudomonadota; Alphaproteobacteria; Hyphomicrobiales; Phyllobacteriaceae
Also listed under: 23 other names
Description: partial 23S ribosomal RNA
Source: RNAcentral